GAUGAACGCUGGCGGCGUGCCUAAUACAUGCAAGUCGAGCGAACGGACGAGAAGCUUGCUUCUCUGAUGUUAGCGGCGGACGGGUGAGUAACACGUGGAUAACCUACCUAUAAGACUGGGAUAACUUCGGGAAACCGGAGCUAAUACCGGAUAACAUUUUGAACCGCAUGGUUCAACAGUGAAAGACGGUCUUGCUGUCACUUAUAGAUGGAUCCGCGCUGCAUUAGCUAGUUGGUAAGGUAACGGCUUACCAAGGCAACGAUGCAUAGCCGACCUGAGAGGGUGAUCGGCCACACUGGAACUGAGACACGGUCCAGACUCCUACGGGAGGCAGCAGUAGGGAAUCUUCCGCAAUGGGCGAAAGCCUGACGGAGCAACGCCGCGUGAGUGAUGAAGGUCUUCGGAUCGUAAAACUCUGUUAUUAGGGAAGAACAUAUGUGUAAGUAACUGUGCACAUCUUGACGGUACCUAAUCAGAAAGCCACGGCUAACUACGUG
RNAcentral lists this ribosomal RNA (497 nucleotides) under uncultured bacterium. RNAcentral's name for it is "partial 16S ribosomal RNA". It matches the Rfam family "Bacterial small subunit ribosomal RNA", at positions 28 to 507 of the family's 1533-position model. The record is from RNAcentral.